GCUGUAAUGCACUCUGCCAUGCUAACUCAGUAGCCUGCCAUUAUCUCAAGGUCUCCUUCGUCCAGCAGGAAAUGUGACCUGAUUAUGUUUCUAGUAAAAUUGUAGAGAGACAACUCCUCACUGAACUGUGUUUCUUUUUCAAAUAGCUGUUGAAAUGAAGUCAUCUAAAGUAUUCUCGUCAGGCCAUAGAAUGGACCGAAGCAUGCCAGCUGGUGACAAUAUCUUGGUUUCCCGAUCUACUGACUUCACCCAGGACAAAGUAAAUGGGCAAUUGCAUAGGAACAAAUGAUUGUUCUAGCUGAUGCAUGUCAGACUGGCAGCUGGCCCUGCAUUGGUGUUCCCUGCUGCAUUUUGAUCAUCGAGUUUCCCUCAGCCUUCACCAGCAAACCUAAGAUCCCUCGCACUCCUGAAGCGCAGAGUGCCAGCCCUAGAAAGGGAAAGGUCCCAGCCAUUGCCCCUCAGUUCUCUCAGUCUGGACCCCAAC
RNAcentral lists this long non-coding RNA (484 nucleotides) under Buteo japonicus. RNAcentral's name for it is "lncRNA (ENSBJAG00000011716.1)". Lineage: Eukaryota; Metazoa; Chordata; Aves; Accipitriformes; Accipitridae. The record is from RNAcentral.